AAAUGUCAUUGGCUUUUUUAAAAAAGAAAUGCUAUAUAGCUGCUUGGUCAUCAAAUUUCAAAACAUGUAACUGAAUGAGGCUUUUUUUUUCAGAAUGGCUUUCAAAAUACUGCAAUUGUGUAAUAAAUCAAGGAGCUAACUAGUGAAAGGUCUGUGGAUGUCUUUCCCUUUUCCUCCUCGGAACUGUCAGUCGACUGAAGGCUUGACAUUUUUGUACUGGAGAAUUUGAUUUUUGAGAAUAAAAAUGCUUUUCCACUAAAUAGGAAAUUUUACAAAAUUUUAUUUAUAAUGCUGAGAUUUUUGCUGAUGAUUCAGACUAAUUAUUUUAUAAUAAUAAAAGGUGAAAUAUGGAUGUGCAAACCAUGAAGGUGCAGUAGAAAAAUGUACCAAGACAGAGGGUUUUUUUCUUCCUCUCACAGGGUCUGUGGCCAUCUUCUUAGCAGUGGAGAGGCAGGCAAGGCUGGCGUUGCAGUUGGAAGGCUGUCUCCAUGGGCUGGGACAACUCCUGCUGGAACAGAGCACUGGAGAUCUGUGGAUAUCGGCAAGAUGAACAAAAGGCAAAAGAAAAUCCAAACAAAACACUACAAAAGCUUUCCUGUUAUAAACAGCACAGGAAGCAGUAACAACAAAGCCAGUAUUUGUGCCGGUGGAGGAAUAGUUUGGCUUCAGCUGGCUUCCAGCAUGGACACACCAUUUCUCCUCUGGCUGCAGGAGAUGCAUCAGGACAUUGUUUGUCUGCAAAACUGCAACUCUCACAGGCAAAGUUCCCCCUGCCCUUAAAGACAGCUUCGCAUUAGCAUCCCAGGGUCAGCCUGUAAGUUAGAACUGACACGUGGUGGUGCACAGGAAACCUGGGCUGGGAAUAAAACCUUACCCAAACUUGCACAGCAUGUUGUGAGUUCAGUUCAUCAAGUCUUUGUGUGCUGCCUCCGCUGCCAAAAGAGAUGCUGCGUUUCCUUGGCACCUGUGCUGACACGUGUGAUGCAUUGCAAAGAAACCAUAGCUGGCCUGGCAGCGGGCUCUGGACAAAUUCUGCCUAGGAAAGGAUGACAGAGGUGGCCCCACAGAAGGGAGUGAAAGAGGAGACUGUCUUGAAGGUGGGCAAGGAGAUAAGGGAGCUAGCUUGCAUUUGCAGGCCCUGUGGUUACUGUCAAGGCAAUCCUGUGCGUUGCCUCAUUGUUUCCCCA
This 1187-nucleotide long non-coding RNA is filed under the name Anas zonorhyncha (Eastern spot-billed duck). Its description in RNAcentral is "lncRNA (ENSAZOG00000002278.1)". The record is from RNAcentral. Lineage: Eukaryota; Metazoa; Chordata; Aves; Anseriformes; Anatidae.